GAUGAACGCUAGCUACAGGCUUAACGCAUGCAAGUCGAGGGGAAACGGCAUUAAGUGCUUGCACUUUUUGGACGUCGACCGGCGCACGGGUGAGUAACGCGUAUCCAACCUUCCCAUGACUAAGGGAUAACCUGCCGAAAGGCAGACUAAUACCUUAUGGUCUUCACUGACGGCAUCAGAUGUGAAGUAAAGAUUUAUCGGUUAUGGAUGGGGAUGCGUCUGAUUAGCUUGUUGGCGGGGUAACGGCCCACCAAGGCAACGAUCAGUAGGGGUUCUGAGAGGAAGGUCCCCCACAUUGGAACUGAGACACGGUCCAAACUCCUACGGGAGGCAGCAGUGAGGAAUAUUGGUCAAUGGGCGAGAGCCUGAACCAGCCAAGUAGCGUGCAGGAUGACGGCCCUAUGGGUUGUAAACUGCUUUUGUAUGGGGAUAAAGUCAAUCACGUGUGAUUGUUUGCAGGUACCAUACGAAUAAGGACCGGCUAAUUCCGUG
This 492-nucleotide ribosomal RNA is filed under the name uncultured bacterium. RNAcentral's name for it is "partial 16S ribosomal RNA". It matches the Rfam family "Bacterial small subunit ribosomal RNA", at positions 28 to 507 of the family's 1533-position model. The record is from RNAcentral.